RNAcentral lists this ribosomal RNA (429 nucleotides) under Chloroflexota bacterium. RNAcentral describes it as "Chloroflexi bacterium partial 16S ribosomal RNA". It matches the Rfam family "Bacterial small subunit ribosomal RNA", at positions 355 to 776 of the family's 1533-position model. The record is from RNAcentral. Lineage: Bacteria; Bacillati; Chloroflexota.
UGGGGAAUAUUGCACAAUGGGCGCAAGCCUGAUGCAGCCAUGCCGCGUGUGUGAAGAAGGCCUUCGGGUUGUAAAGCCCUUUCAGCGGGGAGGAAGGCGUUAAGGUUAAUAACCUUGGCGAUUGACGUUACCGACAGAAGAAGCACCGGCUAACUCCGUGCCAGCAGCCGCGGUAAUACAGAGGGUGCAAGCGUUAAUCGGAAUUACUGGGCGUAAAGCGCACGCAGGCGGUUGAUUGAGUCAGAUGUGAAAUCCCCGGGCUUAACCCGGGAAUUGCAUCUGAUACUGGUCAGCUAGAGGGUUGUAGAGGGGGGUAGAAUUCCAUGUGGAGCGGUGAAAUGCGGAGAGAUGUGGAGGAAUACCGGUGGCGAAGGCGGCCCCCUGGACAAAGACUGACGCUCAGGUGCGAAAGCGUGGGGAGCAAACAGG